This 336-nucleotide ribosomal RNA is filed under the name Pelagibacterium lixinzhangensis. RNAcentral describes it as "bacterial SSU rRNA". It matches the Rfam family "Bacterial small subunit ribosomal RNA", at positions 1115 to 1453 of the family's 1533-position model. The record is from RNAcentral. Lineage: Bacteria; Pseudomonadati; Pseudomonadota; Alphaproteobacteria; Hyphomicrobiales; Devosiaceae.
UUGCCAUCAUUUGGUUGGGCACUCUAGAGGGACUGCCGGUGAUAAGCCGGAGGAAGGUGGGGAUGAGGUCAAGUCAUCAUGGCCCUUACGGGCUGGGCUACACACGUGCUACAAUGGUGGUGACAGAGGGCAGCUAGACCGCGAGGUCAUGCUAAUCCCAAAAAGCCAUCUCAGUUCGGAUUGCACUCUGCAACUCGGGUGCAUGAAGUUGGAAUCGCUAGUAAUCGCAGAUCAGCAUGCUGCGGUGAAUACGUUCCCGGGCCUUGUACACACCGCCCGUCACACCAUGGGAGUUGGUUCUACCCGAAGCCGGUGCGCUAACCGUAAGGAGGCAGC